Girardinichthys multiradiatus is the source of this 1743-nucleotide long non-coding RNA. RefSeq lists it as uncharacterized. The transcript is spliced from 4 exons. The record is from RefSeq and is a predicted model, not a curated record. NCBI's taxonomy places the organism in Eukaryota, Metazoa, Chordata, Actinopteri, Cyprinodontiformes, Goodeidae.
UGCUGUUUUGACAGUAAAGUUACUGUAAUCCCUGCAGUUUUUACAGCUGAACUAACCAAUAGGAUGUAACUGUAACAUUUGGGCUUUUCACAAUAAAACGUCAUUAUUCUUAGCAGUUCUCUAGAUGUGCAGUGUAUUCUGGGAAAUUUCUGAGCAACUGAUAUUUAGUUGUUAUCUGUGGCAGAAGUACCACUAGUGAUGUGAUCCAUAUGAUGGUCCUGCACUCCUCAGUUCUGUGGUUCCUGUGAUGAUUUAUUAGAUGAUUUUAAGUAGGAUGUCAUGAGACAUAUCUGUUUACGCUGUGUGGAAAUCCUUUUCUGGACUUUUUAACACAGGUGGUCCAAAGAAAGGCAUCGUGGUAAUUUCAGCAUAUUUGUCCCAUCUCAGUGAGUCGUCUGAGGGUAGUAGAGAGAACAUCGUCUGCCUACUUUGAUUUCCACGCCUUGAGAAACAGCCACAGGAGGGGAUGGAUCUCAUUGUUGCCCACCGAGUUCUUCCAGAUGUCUCACAUCCUCAUUUUACUGUGAGAACAAGGGCGAGCAUGUGUGAGGCAUGUCAGCUGGUGGGGAGUCCUCAAACAUCUUGCAUCCACAUUGUUUCUUUGAUAUGAGUCACCCCCAACACGUCUACUUGCUUAUGCAAACAAAAUGAGCCGUGUCCUUGUGUCUUCAAAGAUUUUUACAGGAGUCAGUUUCGUGAGGUUCUUUUGUAAUUGUCUGUGGUUCUGGUAGAAAACACCAAGGUGGAGCUUUUUUCAGAGUCAAUUUGAGAGGACUUGGAGGGAUCAGUGGCUGAUCAACCUGACUGGAAAGGAAAUGGACAGCUGGAACCCCGGGUGUCAGGUUCUAGUUAAACUGUGGUUUCCUGAAGGUUCUUCAGUUUCUCGUUGGCUGCUUUUUCCAAAAUAAUGAGGAAAAUGGAGCAACUGAUGGGUGGAUGGCAUCUACAAAGCAUCCUCUUUUGUCUGCUGAUCUUCACUGUGGAUGACCCAGCGACUGCCUGAUCACCAGGUUGAUGUCGCUACUUGUGUCCGUCGAUGGGGCCUUUAUUGUCUAUUAUGCAGCUUCAGUGGCGUCUAAUGGGGUGAUGAAUGUUGCUGUUUGUUUAUCCACUCAACCCAAAUUUCUGCUGCAGAAAUCAGAAGCUACACCUGGCCUGACUCUGAUGCACUGGGUUAUGAUGUUUUAUUGGGGCUGCAGACACAACUUGAAUUGCAUGGACUAAAUUUCUCUUCUUGAACUGGACCUUCAUACCAAUAUCUUCCAAACUGACUGGGAAUGUGGAGAUACAACAGUCAAAGAAGAGGACAAAGUUUGCUAGCGGCUACAGUUUCUUGUUAAGUCCAAAGAGACGUGUGUUUUCUGUACUUGGUUCAGUUCGGGGCCGAUUCGUAUUCAGACCAUAAGCGAACCGCACCAGAGUCCGUUUGGAAGCGAACCAAGACCCAUUUUUGGAGGUGUUCUCGGUUCGCUUGUUUGGUGCGGACCAGGGUUCGCUUUAGUGUAUUUAGACCUGCACAAAAGGUCCGGAACAAUGGGGGAAAUGAACUCUGGUCCGUUUAAAGCGGACCACAAGUGGCAGGUGUGAAUACACCCCAAGUCUCCGGGAAAUCUGGCUUUUGAUCAGCAGCAGAAAUGAAACCUGAUGUUCUGUGAAUCGGACCUGACAGACCAGGAUCUGAGGAGAAAACUGUCUCUGAUUCUUCUUUCUCUGAAUGGAAAAUAAAAGCAAAUAAAAGCAGAA